RNAcentral lists this ribosomal RNA (220 nucleotides) under uncultured Acholeplasma sp. RNAcentral describes it as "partial 16S ribosomal RNA". It matches the Rfam family "Bacterial small subunit ribosomal RNA", at positions 1163 to 1382 of the family's 1533-position model. Lineage: Bacteria; Bacillati; Mycoplasmatota; Mollicutes; Acholeplasmatales; Acholeplasmataceae. The record is from RNAcentral.
ACGGAGGAAGGUGGGGAUGACGUCAAAUCAUCAUGCCCCUUAUGACCUGGGCUACAAACGUGAUACAAUGGCUGGAACAAAGGGAUGCGAAGCAGUGAUGUGGAGCGAAACCCAUAAAAACAGUCUCAGUUCGGAUUGAAGUCUGCAACUCGACUUCAUGAAGUCGGAAUCGCUAGUAAUCGCGGAUCAGAACGCCGCGGUGAAUACGUUCUCGGGGUUU